This is a non-coding RNA of Camellia sinensis, 612 nucleotides long. The record is from RefSeq and is a predicted model, not a curated record. NCBI's taxonomy places the organism in Eukaryota, Viridiplantae, Streptophyta, Magnoliopsida, Ericales, Theaceae.
CAUCCCUCGUCUCCCCUGUCACAUGGGUGAUCUUAACUCCCAUCUACCUCUUUCGUCUCUUAUGCAACCUGCCCCAAUGAAUUUUGAGUUGGAUAUCUGUACUAAUUCUAACAGCAUUGAUUAACCUUUUCAUCUCCACAUAAAACUUGAUCAUUUCUUACUAUUGCAGGCCAAUCUGCAGGACGGUAUCAGAUGCUGCUUAUGCCCUGGAUGUCAUUGUGGGUUAUGAUCGCCAUGAUGCAGUGGCAACAAGAGAAGCUUCAAAAUACAUUCCAAAUGGUGGAUAUGUGCAAUUUCUCAAACCUGAUGGGCUUAGGGGCAAGAGAUUAGGGAUAUCAAAUUAUCUCUAUUUUGGUUUCCCAAAAAAUUCAGGCAUUUCUCAACUUUUUAAGCAGCCUUUGCAGAUAUUAAGGCAAGGAGGUGCAAUUUUGGUUGACCAUAUUAAAAUACCAAACUACGAAACCAUCAAAGAUUCCAUGUUCAUUGGUGAGCAGAUAGCGAUGACAGCUGAGCUGAAGUUGUCUCUAAAUGCUUAUCUCAAAGGGCUAAUCACUUCUCCAGUGAGAUCAUUGGCAGAUAUAAUAGCAUUCAACAACAAAUUCUCUGAUUUGG